Molecule: transfer RNA, 63 nt
Filed under: Diaphanes sp. FM11
Lineage: Eukaryota; Metazoa; Arthropoda; Insecta; Coleoptera; Lampyridae
Description: tRNA-Phe
Source: RNAcentral
ACUUUAAUAGCUUAUUAAGAGCAUAAUAUUGAAGAUAUUAAGGAAAUAUAAAAUUUUAAAGUA